GCAAGUCGCCUGGCGAAUCAGGACAUGUGGAGUUUUUUUAAAAAACAAUUAAAAAAAUUUAACACUUGCAAAAAUUUUUAAAUCAAUUAUUUUUUUUCCUAUAUUUCAGCAAUUCAAAUAUUCAACUACCUAUAUUCCUAAUUUUUCUCAAAAACCCAUCCCACGUUACUCAUAUAUUUUGAAACUGUUUUCUUUUUCUUUUUGGUAUAAAACUGUUUCUUCAUCUCUAAUAUAAAUUAAAUUACUUUCUUCUCUCCAUUGUAUCUACAAAACAUCGUGGUUUCAAAGGUGAGACUCUAAGUUUUGACACAUGGUGAUCAAGGUUAAUGUUCUCUAAAUUGUACUCAAGGCUAAACUUUACAUAGAACAAACAAUCAGUGCAUUUUUUUUUUUGGUUUAAAAACAAUCAGUGCAUUGUUGCAUCGUGUCUACACUCUACAGCACAUCAUCAAAAAGAAAAAGUAAGUGUUCCAUUGUUAUAUAUAUUAAGUUUUCCUGCAACAAUAAUAUAAAGUUCACGUUUUUAUGAAGGAUUACGUUUUACCCAUCCAUGUGCAACAAAAAUUACGUUCUUUACAUAUUUUCUAUAAAUGGAGAGAACAGAUGUAAAAAGAGAUCAUAAAGAGAUCAUGAAUUUGAGUGUAACCAAAGAGCUCUGCUGCAGGUUGAAGAUGCCACUGGAAUAUAUUGCUAUUUUCCAGCUCAAUUAAUUUCAAAAACUGGAAAUUAGUGUACUUGUCUCUCGGAUUUUUGGAUAAAAAGGUACACAAAUUUUGAUUUCUAAAAUUAUGUUUCUAUUGAAGUUGAUGAGUGUUUGCGUAAAUAGUAGUUUGUUUUCUAAAAAUAUGUUGUAGACUCAUGAUAACAUUAAUAUGCUUACAAACAUAUAUGAGCCUAUCUAUAUUUUAGAAAAUCAGAUAUUUUGUAAAACAGUUUUAGCAUAUUUGCUUCAAUAUUAUAUAUGGUUCUUAUGUGUAAAAUACUAAUUAUUUAAAUUUAAAAUUAUAAUAAAAUAAUUAAAAAUAUAAGAUAUUUGGUCCGUGCAUAGCACGGAAAUAACACUAGUUUAUAUAUAAAGGAGGAAAAUAUGUACCUUAAAUGAUGACGUGUCAGUUCAGUGUAGACAAUUCUUACAUAAUUUUUUUUUCUCCCAACUUGAAAUCAUAUAUAUAUUAACUUGGUUCCAUACAACAACACCUCCAAGCAACACAGCUUGCAUCACAACCACUACAAAAAUGGGUUAGAAAGACUCAUCCAACUACACAUCCACGCCUACAAAGACGGAUACCAAAAAAACAGCAAACUAAUUAGUUACCACCAGAUGUACUUCUGUCAUUCGCAUAGAUAUGAUCCAACCAUCUUGGAUGACCAGCAGCUACAUAAGACUGAGUGAGACCUAAGUUUCUCACACUCUGAGCAAUGAAAAAUGCACAUCUGAUUGUAUUCGAAGACCCAAUCCUUAGUUCCCACGCUUCAAAAGCCUGCAGUUCUCUCUUGAUCUCUCUCACCUCAAACUGCAACGCAGGCCAGCAGGAAGGUUUUUCAAUUGUUUCGAUCAGAUCCCCAGAAUAUCUUGUGUGAAAAUUAAAUUCAGUUUAUCUUUUAGCAAAACAAAUAUUUAAUUCAAUUAAGUAGGUAGCAUUGCUUCAACCAUGCAUGUCUAUAAGAGAAUCUAGCGUUUUCGUUUAUAUCACUGGCUAAUCUGGAUUGGAUUACGAAUUACAACUGCUUUAGUUUAAAAUAGUUAAAACAUAAGUUCUCAAUCAUUGAUCACAUUUUUUUCAUUGUUUAUUCUCUCUGCUUCUAUAUCUGGUGUUAUAGAUGACAUGACAAUAUGACAUUGUAUUCAUUUUGAAUUGGUGUUUGAAAAAAACAUAAUUGUGUUUCAGAUACAAUUGAAUAUAGCUUAUUAUACUCUCCUUUUAACAUAAUUUUAUUUGUAGGCAGACUAUUGUAAAUGAUGAUUAAUACUCUUAUCUAUUCAUCUACAGACGGUUGAUAUUGUGAACAGCGCACAUAAUCAUGAUAGGCGAUCCAACAUGCAGUAACUAAGAAUUAAUACUUCAAGCAGAAAAACCUGCAAUUACAUCUUAUGGUAUUAUCAUAAGAGAUAUAAUGUAAAUUUGCUUCCGCAAUGCUUCAAUUUUAUAACUAAAGAAGUUAUAAUUAUCUUUAAAGAUUCAGUUUAAAUAACCUUUUUGACUACUUCUUUUGAAGUGCGGGCAGACUAAUGUAUCCAACACCUAACAGUGUCCAGGAUCAUGUUUACUAUUCAACAUAGCAUUUCAAAAAGGUAAGCUUUUCUAUUAAUGAUGAAGUAUAUCUUUCGAAUAAAUUACCUGCUAUUGUAAUAGUUAUGUGGAUAACUAUUCAUUAUAAAAUAUCCAUACCACUAUGCACAUCAUAUUAGAAAAAUUGCAUGAAAUGGAAUACAUUGAAUAGCUAGCACCUUUCAAAAUAUAUUCAAUCAAAAAUAUUCUAACAUUUGUAUUUACAGUUUAGUGAUUAUUGUUUAUGGGUUUAUAGUUUAGUGAGUGGAGUUAGGUUUAUAAAAUUUAAUAAAUAAUUCUUAAAUAUUUAUAAAUGAUUUAGAAGAGUUCAUUUUGCUUGCAGUUGGCUGAUGGGACCUACUGUUUUUAUUCACAAUAUUUUCAGGCUAGUGUACCCGAUCAAUGUUUAAUUCUCUUGGAAACUAUUGUUCUUUGUUCUCUCGUAACAUGUUCCCUAUAAAAGUAUGAAUACAAAUUAAGAAAAUCCAGGUUUUUCUUAGUUCGAAGUUUAAUUUUUUUCUAAAUUCUGAUGAUCAUUUGAAAGUCCGAUUAGAUAUUUUUAAAAAUACCCGAGAUUAGAUAUAAAUAAACAAGAAUACAUACAUAUAUAUAUAUAUAUAACUUGCUUUUAUAGUUAUACGGCUGGACUAAAUAUAUAUACAUAUACUAAUUAAUAGAAGGAAUAAUUUGAGGUUUUAUGCAGUAUCAACGUCAGUGAUUUCUUAAAUCUAUACGAUUAUCACAUCAUUCUCGAAUACAUCCAUCUAAUCUCCCCCUUUCAAGCAAGAGAUCGACUUAUUUCCUCGUGAAAAUGGAGAAGCAGCUUCUUACAUUAUCUACAAAUUCAAUUAGGUUACAAACCCUUUUUCUUUUCUCGUACAUGAUAUUAUUAUAAAAUUAGUAAAGCUACAAAGAGCCGGCAAAUAUGAAUCGUCUACGUUAUUGUUCUUUGAAAAUGAUAGACGCCAAAAAUGAAAAAUAUCCAUCAAGUUGCAGACAAAUCAAUUACCAAAGUAGUUCUUACAUUAUCUACAAAUUCAAUUAGGUUACAAACCCUUUUUCUUUUCUCGUACAUGAUAUUAUUAUAAAAUUAGUAAAGCUACAAAGAGCCGGCAAAUAUGAAUCGUCUACGUUAUUGUUCUUUGAAAAUGAUAGACGCCAAAAAUGAAAAAUAUCCAUCAAGUUGCAGACAAAUCAAUUACCAAAGUAGUUUGAAAAAAAAAUGGAAGCGACGUCUCUCUUUUAUCUUCCUGUAUGGACACUUUCGUCUUUUUGGACAAAACACUGAAACCCACGACCACUGAUCACAUCAAACUUUCUUCAACUUUCCAAAGUUUGAUCUACCCCUCAGGUUAUAGGUUUUAAUUGAUAAUUGAAUUAUUGUACUUUUUGUUUUGCUAAAAUGGAUUGUUGUAACUAAAAUGAAUUAUUGUACUGGACACUAAAAUUGUCACAAUAUUCAUAAUUUCCGAACCAAUCCCUAAGCAAAAAUAUUUUCGUGACAUUCUGGACUCAUCUAGCCAAUAGCCACUACGAAAAACAGCAAUUCUGACGACAAAGGGUGUUGGUAAUACAUAUACCAUAAGCAGAAAAAAUUAAUUUAAGGUUAUUAGUUUUCAUUUGGCAGCCAAGUAUUUAUCAAAUAAUCAACAAAUAUUUUUCUUCAAGCAUUUAUUUGUAUAUUCGAUAAAGUGAAGUUUGUUGUUUGAUUCCCAUGAUCUUUCUUUUGGAUGAAAGAUUGGAGGGGUCCAAAUUUUAUGCAAGAGACUGGACUUUGGACAAGUGCUUUUGUAAGACAUCCUCGCACUAUUAUAUUUUCUUAAAUACACCUCCGUAACUAAAUCUACUACAAUUUGAAGAAAGUUUUAGUUUUAGAAUUGGAAUGCCAGCAAUACAAGUUAACAACGAGAUACCGCAAAGUAGUUUUAGAUUAGUGUUUAUUGGGCCUAUGGCUAUUAGAACGGGCUUGAAAUUGCGGGUUUGAACGGGCUAGUUAUGUAAAAAUAUCUACUGUUGACAUGAGUAGAAGUAAUUUUGGUUUAUAUAAAAAGUCAACCAUUAUAAGUCAGAAGCACAAUUAAUGAGAACGUUGAGAUAGGAAGAGACGUGCGUGCAGACAAGUCUAAGCAAACCGCUAUUGGCACCAAAGAAUUAAAGCCCCGCUAUUGGCACCAAAGAAUUAAAGCAUUUUAUAAAAAGAUAGAUUUGUGUCUUAAAGACUUAUUGAUGAUAGCUCAAAUGAGCUUUAUUAUGCAGAGAAAUAAAUAACAUAUAAGAUUUGUAAGUUGUCACCAAGAAGAAUGAAGAUUUAAGAUUGUUUUCAUGAAAGAGAAAGGAGGCUGCUUAUGAGACAGCCAAGGUUACAUUCAUCAGACUCUUAACCACACUUAUAUAAGCUUAGAAACACUAGUUAGAUGGUUCUAUUGGUUCAUAAGAUGGGCCUUUUCUAUGGGCUUCAAUAAAGAAACCGUCCAACAGCGAGAAGAACAGUUUGAGCAUGAUUAGUCCCAUGGGUCCCCUCCUCACCACCAGGAACUUGAUGUUGCCAGAGAACAAGUUCAACAGAAUUAGACAGAGCUUUGUUUCCGCAACGGACUUCAAAGCCACAGCUCUAAACCAGGCUGCAUAAGCCAAACGUGCAUCACAAGUAAACUCUGCUAAGGUUAACGAGCUUUCCAAAGAGAUUUGGGGAUAUGAAAGAUGCGAUUCAUCAGCUCAAGCUUGCAGCCACUCAGAAUCUGCAAGAGUACGCUAAUAUUGUGAAGGAAAAAAGAUGUUUUACGAGAAUGUUACAAGACAGCUGCUGAGGAGGCAGAGAAGAAACUACUAGUGUAGAGGCAAGAAUAUCAGCCUGAGCUCUCAAGGAAGGGAGCUUGGAACUAAAAGUAUAAAAGAAGUAGAAGAGACAAUGAAUAUGGUUAAGAGUUAACGUAAAAAAAAGGCAACACACAUACAUGUCAAUCAUUUUGUUAAAGGAGGAACCAUUAAUCAUCUUCCAGAUUGCAGUAACUGAGAAGGAAGAACACACAUAAUGAGAUGAUCAUCGUCCAACUUAUCACUGUCUGAUUGUGUAGCAAGUCUUACGGAGUUGCCUUGUACUUCCUCACCUCUCCAGUCUCCACUGUUAAACAUGUGGUGCACCAAUUAUAUAUCUCGGCUAUACAACUGAGGUAACCACCCUGACACGCACCAAGCUGAUGCGGUGCAUCUCUUGGGAAGCACGUUUUGCAUACAAGGCGGUAACCUCUUCCAAGUACCGAGACGGUAUUGUUUCAUUUCUUCUCAUAAUUUUAUUCAUCCUAUCCCCGUACGCCGAACGCUUAAGACGAUAGAACCGAGAAAUGACCCAUCCAAAAUCCUUAAACAACGACAUUCAAAAGUUUAUUUUUUUAUUUAUUUUAAAAAUAAAAGAUGGUACAAAAUACAAUAACUUAGCAAAUAGUAUGUCAAUAAAUUGUGGGGGAUAAAGCAAUAAAAGAGAUGUAACUAUUAAAAGAUGGCAGAAGCUGGGAAACAGAGCCUCCUCCUCUACUGACACAAAAACUAUAUGUUUGGUCCCUCUUCUUUCCUCAACCCCACGCACUUCUGACCUAAAAAUCUCUCUCUCUAUCCCUACACGACAGCUGCAACAAAAAAAAACUUUACUAAUUUUUUAAUUGUUUAAUAUUCUCUCUCUGUCUCUCUCUAUCUACUUUUUUAAAAGGGGACUACUAUUAUCGUCAGUUGUCACUAAAUGACUAAACAAAUCCCAUUCUAUAUCAUAAUUAGAAGAAAAAGCGAGGAAUCCUAAACACACUUAAAAUCAUUAUUAACGGAGCAUCUCACAUAAUCCUUCACUA
This is a long non-coding RNA of Brassica rapa (field mustard), 6109 nucleotides long. RefSeq lists it as uncharacterized. NCBI's taxonomy places the organism in Eukaryota, Viridiplantae, Streptophyta, Magnoliopsida, Brassicales, Brassicaceae. The record is from RefSeq and is a predicted model, not a curated record.